AACGAACGCUGGCGGCAGGCCUAACACAUGCAAGUCGAGCGAGGACUUCGGUUCUAGCGGCGGACGGGUGAGUAACGCGUGGGAAUGUGCCCUUCUCUACGGAAUAGCCCUGGGAAACUGGGAGUAAUACCGUAUACGCCCUAUUGGGGAAAGAUUUAUCGGAGAAGGAUCAGCCCGCGUUGGAUUAGGUAGUUGGUGGGGUAAUGGCCUACCAAGCCGACGAUCCAUAGCUGGUUUGAGAGGAUGAUCAGCCACACUGGGACUGAGACACGGCCCAGACUCCUACGGGAGGCAGCAGUGGGGAAUCUUAGACAAUGGGGGCAACCCUGAUCUAGCCAUGCCGCGUGAGUGAUGAAGGCCUUAGGGUUGUAAAGCUCUUUCAGCUGGGAAGAUAAUGACGGGACCAGCAGAAGAAGCCCCGGCGAACUCCGU
This 432-nucleotide ribosomal RNA is filed under the name uncultured bacterium. RNAcentral describes it as "partial 16S ribosomal RNA". It matches the Rfam family "Bacterial small subunit ribosomal RNA", at positions 29 to 506 of the family's 1533-position model. The record is from RNAcentral.